UUAGUUGACUGAGAAAUAGACGGU
RNAcentral lists this microRNA (24 nucleotides) under Brachypodium distachyon (stiff brome). RNAcentral describes it as "bdi-miR7717c-3p". The record is from miRBase by way of RNAcentral. Lineage: Eukaryota; Viridiplantae; Streptophyta; Magnoliopsida; Poales; Poaceae.